Molecule: long non-coding RNA, 634 nt
Filed under: Dromaius novaehollandiae (emu)
Lineage: Eukaryota; Metazoa; Chordata; Aves; Casuariiformes; Dromaiidae
Description: lncRNA (ENSDNVG00000000015.1)
Source: RNAcentral
GUCUUCGGCAGCCUGGCGGGGCGCGCGGCGCUCGGGUGCUCCUCUAGGCAGCUCUUCAGAAUUAGCAUCGGAAUAUAUUUUUACGCUGUCUUCGUGUUUUGUCGUUUACAAAAAGAAAGGAACCUGAGGAGCGCGGCGUCCGUGGAGCAAGGCCUCGAUGCUACGGCUGCUCUCGGGGGAAGAGCUGCCCGCCCUCCCGGCCCGACCGGCCCCGGGAGCUUCGGCUUCGUGGACCGAGGCCCCCCGCCGCACCUGCCUGUGGGAUCACGCCUGAAACAUGCUGGCUGCCCUCGCCCGCCCCCCCGGCGCUGCGCCCCAGUCGUGAAGCUGUCUCUGCGCUGUCCUGGGGACAACUGGGACAAUUUGUUAUUACUGUGAUUAGAAAUGCUCCUUGCUUGGAAGGAAACACUUAGCAAGUCUGGCAAAGAGACUGCUUAGCCCUUUCAUGGAAGGUGAGUUCAGCUACAUGGUAUGACUCCUUUAAUGUUUUCUCUCUUUGUGCCACCAGAGUACAUAUUUGUGUGUAGUAAAUAAUUCGAUAAGUGAAAYGCACCUGAACUUGCCCUCAGGAACCUCAAAGUCCAGGGAUAUGGAAAGGAAUAAAUUGUUUUGAGGAUCCUUUUUGAAAUAAUGC